This 15860-nucleotide unclassified non-coding RNA is filed under the name Diabrotica virgifera virgifera (western corn rootworm). RNAcentral's name for it is "aTP-binding cassette sub-family G member 1". The record is from RNAcentral. Lineage: Eukaryota; Metazoa; Arthropoda; Insecta; Coleoptera; Chrysomelidae.
CAUAAUGUGGAAUCUUUUAAACUUUCUAGGGUAGUCUGCAUCUUUUGUUGAUAAAAAGUGUUGAAACCAACGGAAUAAACAAACCGAGCGCUAAAAAUGGAGAGGGGCAUUUUUAUUUUAAACUUUAACCCGACCAAAAUAUUAUCGCCGCGCUUAUAAAUUUUAGUCGCGAACAGAUGUGCAUAGACGUAUGUUGUACUGAAACGUGAACUGCGCAACGCGUGUGCUAGUCUAGUCGAUACUUUUAAAUACUUCGUUACGUUUGUUUACCUCUCGAUUUCUGUACGGUUUUUGACGUUUUUUGUUAGAUGACUUAGUGCUAGUGAUAUAUUAAAAUGGAAUUGCAUUCUAGGAACACAUCCCUGAGGCAUUUGCCGAAAAGACCUCCUGUCGAUAUCGAAUUUCACGAUGUCAGUUACACUGUGCCCCAAGGAAGAAAAGGAUCCAAAUUAAUUUUAAGAAGCGUUAAUGGAAGUUUCCAGGCUGGACAAUUGACAGCAAUUAUGGGUCCUUCUGGAGCUGGAAAGAGCACAUUGUUAAAUAUACUAGCAGGAUAUAAAACACAGGGAGCGACAGGGCAAAUCUUGAUAAAUGGAGCGACUAGAAAUUUAAAACAAUUUAGGAAAAUGUCUAGGUAUAUUAUGCAAGAGGAUAUGAUCCAACCAUUGUUGACUGUGGAAGAAGCGAUGAUGAUAGCAGCAAAUUUAAAGUUAGGAAACACGUUGAGUCUAAGCGAUAAAUCUUCAGCGAUAGAUGAAAUUUUAAGUUUACUACGAUUAGACAAAGCAAAAAGGACUGGUACAAGUAGGUUAUCCGGUGGAGAACGAAAAAGGUUAUCGAUAGCUUUGGAAUUAUUAAACAAUCCUCCUGUUCUAUUUCUGGACGAGCCAACUACGGGUUUAGAUGAUCUGUCAUGUUCCCAGUGUAUUUCAUUACUGAAAAAGAUCGCCGAAGGUGGUCGAACUGUGAUUUGCUCUAUACAUACACCAAGUGCCAAAAUAUUUUCACAAUUUGACAACGUCUACAUUUUAUCUGACGGACAAUGCGUGUAUCAAGGUUACGGACCCGAAGUAGUAUCCUAUUUAAGUAAAGUAGGAAUUGAAUGUCCUAAAACCUAUAACCCAGCAGAUUUUAUUAUAGAAGUUUGCUGUAACGAAUAUGGUAAUUUCCAAGAACGGAUGGUAUCUGUGAUAGACAAUGGUCGUAAUAUUUAUAGAACUAACGGUAACUUACCACAACUACAAGAAGUCGAACUUGCCAACGAUAGUCUAGAAAAUCGAAGCAGUAUUUCAUCAAUAUCAAUAAGAGAAGAAGUUUACGCGGAUUUAAGUUCUUCAGAUUUUAAUCACGAGUCUUCAUGGUUUAGCCAAUUCUGGAUCUUAACCACCCGGUUAUGGAUGCAGAUGUGGAGGGAUAAAACUUACUUAAUAAUGAGGACUGUCCUAUAUAUAAUCCUUGCUCUUCUAAUAGGAUCACUAUAUUAUAAAAUGGGUCAGGAUGGGUCCAAAACCAUCUUUAAUUUCGGUUUUUAUUACUGCUGCAUUAUAUUUUUCAUGUAUAUUCCAAUGAUGCCAAUUCUACUGCAAUUUCCUCAAGAAAUUCAGUUAGUGAAGAGAGAACAUUUUAACAAAUGGUACCGACUUAGUGCAUAUUUCUCAGCAUUGUCUUUUUCGACCGUGCCUGUACAACUUUGUCUUGGAGUUGUGUAUGUAUCGUGUGUUUACCUUUUAACUGACCAACCGUUAGAGUUUCGGAGGAUGUCAAUGUUCUUUUUCAUUUGCAUUUUGACCAGUGUAAUUUCCGAAAGUCUUGGACUUCUGAUUUCUGCUCAACUGAAAGUUGUGAAUGCUGUGUUUAUGGGACCAGUAUCUGCUGUUCCUUUCAUGCUACUAGCUGUCUACGGAUUCGGAUCUGGUUACGACACUAUUCCAUCUAUAAUAAAAUUCUUCAUGCACUUUAGCUACCUCAGGUACUCGCUCGAAGGGUUGAUUCACGCCAUGUUAAAAGAUAGAGAAAAGCUAAGCUGUCCGGAUACUGAAGAAUACUGUAUAUACACAGACCUCAACUUAUUCGUUAGGGACAUGGGCAUGGAAAACACUAUUUAUUGGGUUGACGUUUUAGUGCUAAUUUUUAUUUUAAUCCUCUUCAGGGGUGGUAGUUAUUAUCUAUUACGACAAAGAUUAACUCCUAACAAAACCUUUAGAGCUCUACAAUAUAUUGGAAGAUUGGUUAAAUCACAGUUUGGACUAGCGCGAUGAUAAGCGAAAGUUGGUUUAUGUCUUUAGUUAAUCUUAUUAUAUUUUAAGUGAUAUUAUUAUAUAGGAUAUUAGGAACUUGGGUAACUGUCUAUUAAUUUAAGUGAUAUUUUUAAAGGAUCAUUGUUAUAACUUUGUAAAAUAUUGUAGUCAGAAUUAUUUUUAUAUACACUCAUCGGCACAAAAUUCCGCCACUAAAAAUUUUUGAUUAAGUUUGACAACUUAUAACUUUAUUAUUUGUACUCCGAUUUUCAAGAUUCUUACAUCAGUUUGUAGGUACGUGUAUUAGUACCGUUUGCUAUUACUCCGGUAACAAAAUUUUUUGCUUAGAUGGAAUUAUACGGGGUUGAGUGGAAGCAUUGCAUUUUCACCUAACUUUAAAAAAUUCUAUGGAAAAAUUGAAGAGCUGAUUUUGUUUCAUAGUCCUUUCAGUAGCUAGCUCCACAGGUGCCCCAUAUCAAAGUAUGUCGCGGGCCUUUUUCCACCACUGAUAUGGCAUAGUGCUAAAAAAAAUUUCAACAAAAGAAGCAAAAACGCUUCUAUAUAAUAGAAUAGAAAUAUGCUUUAUUAUCACUAAAAAUUUUACAAUUUUAUGGACAAAGCUUACAAAGAUUAGGAAAAAAACAAUAACAAAUACAGUUUACUGAAAUUACAAAAAUCAUCAAUAUUACUACAAAAUAAAAGAUAAUGAAAUAAAACAAAACAAUAUAGGGUGUUUCAUUAUUAAUUGGAAAUAUUUUAACUGUAGAUUCCUGGAGUUCUUUGAAGAUGGAGACUUUUAAUCAGAUUUUUUUAAAUACAUACCUCUAGAAUACUUCUAUUUAGAAAAACGAAAACUGGUACGUCUCUUUGUCUUCCAGAUAUCGAUUUCAUAAAUUGUGAAUUUCUAGUACCGGUCAUAUGCGUCCUCUUUGGGUAGGGCAACGGUUAUUUUAUCGCAUAACUUUUUUGUCUUUGACUUUUAAGCAUUUUUGACACUGAAUUGUUAAAUCGUGAGGUAUUCUAGUACCAAAAGUUACUCUUACUUUAAGUCGGUAGGAUACACCGUCUUCUAGAAAAAUCAAUUUGAAAAUGUUUCAUUUUUUGAAUUUGAACAAAAUUCGAAAAAUUUUUCAAAAAAAUGUAUUUUACCUACCUAAAGCAAGAGUAACUUUUAGUACUAGAAUACCUUAUAAUUUGCCAAAAAUAAUUCAAAAUUAAACACACAAAAACUAAUGCGAUAAAAUCUGUACCAUCUGUGAAUAAGUCGAUAACUCAAAAAUGCAAGCUUUUCGGUAUGGCCACUUUAAACAUUUUAUUAGUUUUGAAGAAUAAAAAAUUUAAGAUUUGACUUAUCCACUUAUUCACGGAUGGUACAGAAAUAUCCGUUGACCUACCCAAAGCGGAUACAUAUGAUCGGUACUAGAAAUUCGCGAUUGAUGAAAUCGAUUCAUCUCUGGAAUAAACGUACUAGUUUUCGUUUUUUGUUUUUGCGUUAAAUCUUAAUAUUUUGAGCCUAGGAAUCUACAGCUAAAUUAUUUCCAAUUAUUAAUGAAACACCCUGUAUAUUGCAAAAUUUAAAUAAAUUGCAAAUUGCAUAAUACAACCUUAGGAACUAAUAAGUUCUGCGUAUAAAACCCAAAUAUAGAUAAUAAUAAUAAACCUAAUUAACUGUAAUAUACCAAAGUCGAAAUAUAGAUUUUAAUUGUUGAGACUCGUUGUUUUAAAACAGAUUCAGUUUUUGCAAGCCAAGGGUAAAUGGAUAUAGAAAAUGAACGUAAACAAAGAAGCUCUUUACUUUAACCUUUAACUACACGCGCUGGCGUAUUUUGUACGCCAGAUAUAAGAAUUCUACUGCAAAUAUAUUUAAAAAUUUAAUUUUUGACCUUGUUUAUGUCUCUAACCUAUCACUGGAAUGUGCUUUACAAUUUGGUUUUAGUUUCGUUAUAAUCGGCGUUCUGGAAAGAUCGUAAUUUACAGUUUAUUAUUUGUUGUUUCCGGUGGUGCACAAUAUGCGCCACGAUUAUAUUAAUAUAAGUAGUAAUAUAAGUACAUAUUUCAAUUGUUUUUUAGUCAUUAUGGCACAAAAUAUAUUUUCCUUUAUAAACAAUCCUUUUCUCCCGUAAAAAAUCACAUUUCAAAAAAUUUUUUAUUAACAAUUUUAUUUAUCAUGGACUCCAGUUAUUCCGUAAUUCCAGUUAUAAAUCCCAAUUGGCUUACUGAGAAGGAACUCCAAGUAUUCACUGAUGCCAAAUAAGGUUUAUAACAAACAACUAAGUGUAUUUUUUCAAAAAAAAAAUAAACAAAUCCGCUGUUAUUGUGUAUUUUCUUGUGGCGUAUAAAGUACGCCACGCGUGUAGUUAUGUCAUAACUUGAUGCGCGGGUAGUUAAAGGUUAACGGCGAGCGACCGGCAAAUACAUAGAUAUACUUAAAUACAAUUUAUAAAUAAAGAACAGAUUACACGAAAAUAUACGCAAACAAUACACAGUGUUUCAAUGUUUCAAAUAUUCAAAGGUAAAGCGAUUACAAAUAUUGCAAUUUGGCAUUAUAUGUCUCACAUACAACCAACGGUGAAUAGACAAUAAAAAGUAGCUUGAUAACAAAAAAGCUCUGUAGUUAUAGAAAUGCGGGAGGCAGAAAAUAGAUAGGUACCUGUACAUCAAUUUAGUUUAUAUGUAUAUAGAUAGAGUAUUCAUUUCACGAAAAUGUCGAUAUCCUAACAAUAUACACUGUUCAAAGCGUUUUAAUAGUGAAAUAAUUGUAGAAUAUUUUUUUUCAAUUUUUUGAAUGGAAUUUUGGGUCGACAUGCCGCGCUGGGGCCCUGAAUGUCGGGCGUCCCGUAUAAUUGAUACGGAGGUAGCUAUGCCUCUGAGUCCUUCCAUAUUAUCCCGGAGGCCUGACUAAAAUUUUCUUUUUGGAAUUAUCCUAAUAUCUCUUUUCUUGUAAGAGCUGCGCAAUUCUUUGUCAAUAAAACCACUGAUUGACUCAUAAACAUAAAUAUCUUAUAUAGAAGUUAGAUUGGUAAGAUUGAAAGGGCCGGCAUGUAACCCAGAUCUCAAUCCUAUCGAGCAUUUAUGGUGUGAAUUGAAAAUAGCUAUUCCCCAUCAUUCUAGGCCUCCAGCAAGUUUGAUACAGUUAUGGCCCUGGUGGAGGAAUGUCGGGCUAUUCCUCAGGCAAGGAUAACACAUCUUAUUUAUUCGAUGUCAACCAGAUUGCGAGCAGUCGUUUCUGCGGGAGGUGGACAUACCCGCUAUUAAAUUGUUUUUGUUGUUAAUUUUGUUUUGUUUUGUUAAUUUUAGUGCGUUUGAUAAUUUUAAUUAAGUAAACCUUCAAAUCAGUGUUUUUAUUUACAGCUUUCACAAGAAAAGAGAUAUUCGGAUAAUUAAAAAAACCAAGAGAUGCCUCCGAGAUAAUACGAAAGCAGUAUGAAACAAAAUCAGGUCUUCAAUUUCCCCCCUUAAAGUUAGUAGAAAAUACAACGCCUCCAUUCACCCCCGUAUAAGACCAUUUAAGCAAAAAUUUUGAUUAUCGGAAUAAUAACAAACAAUAUCAAUACAUGUACCUACAAACUAAUGUAAGAAUCUUGAAAAUCGGAGAACAUAUUACAAAGUUAUAAAUUGUCAAACUUAAUCAAAAAUUUUUAGGGACGGAAUUUUGUACCGGUGAGUGUAGAUUAGUUUUAGGUAGCAAAUAACUAUAAAAUUAUAUACGAUUACAUAAAAAAUACUUUGUCGGUUUUGCCUGUGACAAUGAUAACAUUGACACUUAAUUUAUAUAAAAGUAGUAGUAUUUCGUUGUGUAGUGUAAAGUCCUAGUGUAAUUAAAUUAUUUAUUUUUAACUUCAACGUCUCGCCCAGUAAGUUAGCAAUUUUAUAAUUUAUUAUUCGAAGUAGGUAAAACAUUUAAAAUAUGAACAGACAAAAAUUUUUUGACUGGUAUCUAGCAGAAACUGUUAAGAUAAUCAGCAACUAUUAUUACAACUAGCUCCCCUUCCCCUGAAAGAAAGAGUAGGUUAAUUAAGACUCCACUAUAAUUGAGCCAAAAGGGCAGAAUUUUUGCCACUACAAUUUAAAAUUUCCCUUAUUUUAAUGUUGUUCUGCAGCUAUUUUCUUGUGGCAUUUUUAUAAUCAAGUAUAUUCAAAUGGGAAAUAAGCCACAAUUUUACCUAAAAAUGAUUUUAUUAACGUUUCGACGCCCAAGUCGGGUGUCGUUGUCAAAAUACAAAAUAAUACUAAAUAAACAAAAAUGUUGUUGUUUAGUAAAAAAUUCUUCUAAUAAUUUAUUUAAUCUGACUCAUUUAUAUCGGCAAUUCAGACACGUAUUAUACAUUUUAAAGUAGACGACUUUAAAAUGAUAUUGCCAAUAUUGAUGAGUUGCGUUCCUGGGACGACUUUAUUAAAAGAUAGUUCAUUCGAUUACAUGAAAUCAAUCCUAACUCAAGAAUAUCCGCCACAAAAAAUCAUAGCAUGUGAUCUGUCUUUAAAAAGACAACCAAAUGCAACGGUGGCACUGAAAUUCUCGCGUUAGAGAUUCCAUAGUAAAUCACGAGGGAAAACCAGGAAAAACCUCGUGAUACUAUCCCGACAUCGUAAGUAUUUGUGUUUACAUUUAGUUUACUCUCAAAACUAAUACCAAAUUCUGACUUGAUAUUUUAAAUUUUAAAUAAUACUAAAAUACUAAAUAUGUACUAACUCGAUAUGUUACUGAUUUACUAAUUGUGGUAUUUUCUUUCUAUUGACUUCCUCCUUUAAUAUGGGUAACCACAUCCUACUGCAUUCUACCGAGGAAUUUGCGACACAAUUGGUUUCAUUUAGCAUAAUUAGAGCCGCUUCUUUGAUUUUUCUCUUUUUACUAUUGAUAUAAUUGUAUAAUAUAUAAUAUAUAUAAUAUAGUGUCUGAAUUGCCGAUAUAAAUGAGUAAGAUUAAAUAAAUUAUUAGAAGAAUUUUUUACUAAGCAACAACAUUUUUGUUUAUUUAGUAUUAUUUUGUAUUUUGACAACGACACCCGACUUGGGCGUCGAAACGUUAAUAAAAUCAUUUUUAGGUAAAAUUGUGGCUUAUUUCCCAUUUGAAUAUAUUCCCUUAUUUUAUUUGAAAACCUUCAAUUCGGUUAAUAUGUCGUAUUUUAAUACAUCACAUACAAAUAGGCAAUAUAACAUCUUAGACCUCUGGCCCUGUCCCCAAUACCCAAUCGUCAUUUUUCUCGGUCCGUCCAUAGGUUUUUCUCUAUUUUUAUAUCUCUCAUUUCCCGAUUUAUGCCUUCUCUCUAGCUAAGGCGAGGUCAUCCCCUUUUUCCUUCUAUCAUGAGGCUGCCAUGUUAGUAUUUGUUUUACAAGUCGAUCUUCGGGCAUUCUUUGGACAUGUUCAUACCAUCUUAGUUGGUAGUACCAUUAUCUUCUACUAUUUUAUGAUUUACUUGCAUGAUAUCUCUUAUUUUACUGUUAGUAACUCUCUCUUUUAAAGUUUUCCGUUGUAUCGUUCCUUUAUCUGCCAUACUUCACUGAUGUAGGUGAUUAUACUUUUAAUAAUUAUGUUAUACAGGGUGAGUCAUGAGGAACUGUACAUACUCCUACCUCGUAUAGAGGCCCCUAUGGGGAAUAACAAAUGCCCAUUAAAAAGUGUCUGCUCCCAUUGUUUAAUAAUAUACAGGGCGAGUUUCGCAUUUUGACAGAAAUUUUUAUUCGUCAUAAUUUUUGAACGGUCAGAUCGAUGUGUCUCUUAUUUUGGUCAAUCGUUACACUAUUGCCACCUAAUCAACUGAUUUAUUCAAACUAGAAAAAAAUCAGGUCCGGCUUUAAAAAAAUUAGUUCGUUUUGGUCUUAGAAAAAAUUUCACCCUGUAUAAGCUUUUUGAAAACUGUAAUAUGAAUUUUACAAAUUAGACAAAUAGGCAAUUAAAAUAACAUAUUUAUUUUUUUCCGCACACGAUUGCUUAAUUUUUUAUAAAAAAAUCAAAUUUGAUUAUGAAUUAAAAGUUUGGUAAAGUGAACCAUAGAUUUAACAAAAUUAACUUUUAUUACCAAAAUUAUUUUUUUUUGAACAAAUAUUUAAUUUAUGUUACCACCAAUCAACUGAUUUAUUCAAACAAGAAAAAAUCAGGCCCGGAUUUUCAAAAAUAAGUUCGUUUUGGUCUUAGAAAAAAUUUCACCCUGUAUACGCUUUUUGAAAACUCCAAUAUGAUUUUUACAAAUUAGACAAAUAGGCAAUUAAAAUGGCAUAUUCAUUUUUUUCCCUACACGAUUACUUAAUUUUUUAUAAAAAAAAUCAAAUUUGACUAUGAAUAAUUAAAAGUUUGGUAAAGUCAACCAUAGAUUAAAAUAAAAAUAACUUUUAUUACAAAAAUGAAUUUUUUUUGAACAAAUAUUUAAUUUAUGUUAUCACCCAAUCAACUGAUUUAUUCAAACUAGAAAAAAAUCAGGCCCGGAUUUAAAAAAUUAGUUUGUUCGGGUCUUAGGAAAAAUUUCACCUUGUAUACGUUUUUUGAAAACUUUAAUAUGAAUUUUACAAAGAAGACAAAUAGGCAAUUAAAAUGGCACAUUUAUUUUUUCCCCACACGAUUACUUAUUUUUUUAUUAAAAAAUCAAAUUUGACUAUGCAUAAAAAGUUUGGCAAAGUUUUUGCAUAGAUUUAAAAAAAAUAACUUUCUUUACAAAAAUUAAUUUAUAAAAACAACGUUUUUCUUAAAAUUAAAAGUUUUACCAUUUUUUUUUCUAUAACACGUCUACAUCUAAAACUUCCCAUAACACUUCUUUUGGACUCGAUAGUUUAACAUAGACGUGAUCAAAUUGAUAAAUUUUAAAAUUUCCACCUAAUUUUUGCGAUUUACAAGUUUGCAACUUUUACAAGAAGAAGACUGAAAGUCUACAACAAUUUUCAUAGUCUUCACAAUGGUAAGAGGUAUGUGCUGUAAAAAUUUCAGAAAAAAAAUAUUAAAAUGGAACAGAGUUGUAGCGAGUUAAACCGUGAGUUCAUUUUUUUUUCAUUUUUAGGUUAAAAUUCCGAUUUUGACAAAUUUGAUUUUUUAAUAAAAAAUUAAGUAAUCGUGUGGGGAAAAAAAUAAAUAUGCCAUUUUAAUUGCCUAUUUGUCUUAUUUGUAAAAUUCAUAUUAGAGUUUUCAAAAAGCGUAUACAGGGUAACAUUUUUUCUAAGACCAAAACGAACUAAUUUUUUAAAUCCGGACCUGAUUUUUCUCUAGUUUGAAUAAAUCCGUUGAUUGGAUGGUAACAUAAAUUACUUAUUUGUGCAAAAAAAUUAAUUUUUGUAAUAAAAGUUAUUUUUUCUUAAAUACAUGGUACCAAACUUUUAAUUCAUAGUGAAAUUUAAUUUUUUUUAUAAAAAAUUAAGUAAUCGUGUGCGGAAAAAAAUAAAUAUGCCAUUUUAAUUGCCUAUUUGUCUAAUUUGUAAAAUUCAUAUUAGAGUUUUUAAAAAGCGUAUACAGGGUGAAAUUUUUUCUAAGACCCAAACGAACUAAUUUUUUUAAAGCCGGACCUGAUUUUUUCUAGUUUGAAUAAAUUAGUUGAUUAGGUGGUAAUAGUGUAACGAUUGGCCAAAAUAAGAGACACAUCGAUCUGACCGUUCAAAAAUUAUGACAAAUACAAAUUUCUGUCAAAAUGCGAAACUCGCCCUGUAUAUUAUUAAACAAUGGGAGCAGACACUUUUUAAUGGUCAUUUCUUAUUCCCCAUAGGAGCCUCUAUACGAGGUAGGAGUAUGUACAGUUCCUCAUGACUCACCCUGUAUAUCCUACGUUUGUUACUAUUUGUUAUUGAUUAGCCUCAAAGUGUAUUAUUUAGAAGGAAUAUUGCUUUUCUUCCCAGGUUGUUUCUUUCUUCAACCGUGUCGUCUAAAUUCGCUUCUUUUGUGAAGAUCAGAUCCAGCUAUUGAUAUAUGUCGCAUGUCUGAUAAUUUCUCCAUCGUCCAAUGCGAAGUCCUGCUGUAUCCCACAGACACAGAUAUAUUCUGUCUUUCUUAUGUUUAUUUCAAGCUCCCUUUUUUAUAUAUGCCAAGCCCCAAUGUGUAUAUAGUAUAGUGGCAUGCAUAUGCGUUUCCAAAGAUUUUGAAUUUGUUCGAGCUAAAUCUUAAAUAAUGUCGGUGAGAGACAACAGCCUCGUUUAAGACACUUCCUGGAUUGAAAUCCCUGGACUAGGCAGUUUCCAAUUUUUACCCUUACUUUAGAUUAGCAUAAAUUUGUUUCGUUGCUCGUACUCAUUCCCAUAGUGUAAUUUGUGGGAUACGUCAAAUGCCUUUCUCAAGUCUACAUACAAUAAAAUAAUGUAGGUACUUCCCGGUUAACGGCAACAUUCUUUUCAGUUAUCCGUGUAAGGCAGAAUAAAUGGUCAAUGGUUGAUCUACCUGCCCUGAAUCCUGCUUAUUAUUCGGUUUCUAUAUAUUUUUAUUCAUUUUCUAUUCCAUGAACUAAAUACGGUCGAUAUAAGGUUUUACUUGAUAUCAUACGUUAUACCAAGUUUGAUUAAAGUGGGCUGAAUAGUUUCACAGACUUGAAUUUUUUGUACACAUAUACAGGGUGAUUGAUUAGUGUGAGGAAGCUCAGUAGAUCUGUUAUAGUAAAAAUUGCAAAAAAAAGUUAUUAACAAAAAUUGUAGGCAGCUUUAAACUCCACAUUUUAAAAUUAGUUACAAUCUUACAGGGUGUUCCAUAAGAUAGUGGCAGAUCAAAAUUAUGUUUUUUUAAAUGGAACACCCUGUAUUUUAUUUUAAAUUUGAAAUCUGCUUUACUUCCACAUCACAACAAUGUAAAGUUUUAUUAUGUUAUACCGGGUAUUUAAAAAGUUAUAACCAAUAUUACCUGAAAAUCGUAUCAAGUUUAACUCCCUGUAUAAUUAAAAAGGAGUGUAGGAACAUUAAUCUAUUGCAACCAUAGUUUUUUAAUAAUUAUUAAAAAUUAUAAAACAUAUUCGUUUUUAUAAUAUUCGGUAAAUCAAAUACAGGGUAAGAAGUCAAAAUGCAAGUACAUUAUUUUCUUGGUAAUUUUAAAUAGAACACCCUGUAUUUUAUAUCACUAUCGAAAAGUACUAAUAUCGUACUUCAAAUUUUAUGAAGUACUCCCUAUACCUAAAGUUAUCAGUUUUCUAGAUAUUUUUAUUUUUCCAUCAAAGUAUUAAUUUGGUAGAUAUUUUAACGUUUACCAAUAAUUAUUGUGAGUUGGCCAGGCCAUGAUUGAUUUGUCAGAAACUGACAGUUUGGCAUUAAUUAGUAAUUUUAACUUAUCUUACUUAAGUAAGGUGUUCAAAAUGGCCUCCCAAAACAUCUAUGCAUACUUGAAAGCGGUCAUUGAAAGAGUUGCUUACAUUAGUAAGCAUUUGUAAAGAAAUAUUUUGAAAUGCAAUUCGGAUUCUAUUUUUCAUAUCAUCCCUUGUUGUUGGAGGUAUUUUAUAUACUUCGUUCUUAACGUAACCCCAAAAAAAUGAUUUUAUUGAAAUCUGGUGACCUUGAGGGCCACCUUACCGGUCCAUCCCUUCCGAUCCAUCUUUCACCAAACUGAUCAUUAAGUUCACCACGUACUAAUUCGUUGUGGUGCGCAGGAGCACCGUCAUGUAGAAACCACAUUUGUUCACGUAUAUUAAGUGGAACCAACUUCUAAUAAUAUCGGUAACUGAUUUACGAUAAAAUCUAAAUAAAUCUCACCAUUUAAGUUAUCUUCAAAAAAAUAUGGUCCUAUUACAUGGUUACCGACGAUACCUCCCCACACAUUUAGAGACCAUCUUGUUUGACUAUGUGUUACUAUGUGGUAUGGAUUACUCGUUGAAUAGUAGUGAAAGUUAUGACUAUUAACAGAACCGUUUCGAUGGAAUGUAGCUUCAUCAACCAAUAGGACAUAAUCAAAAAAAUCUCUCUGCUCAUUAAUUUUUUCUAAGGCCCAUUCACAAAAUACUAGUCGUUUCUGAAAAUCAUCAUUAUUUAAUUCUUGGUGCUUUUGAAUAUAAGGGUGCAUCUUGUUUUUAGAUAGAAUGUUUUGAACAGAGUAGUAACUAAGUUCUUGUUCACUGGAAAUACUCCUUAUACUUGUGUGUGGGUUUUCUGUAACUUCCAUCAACACUCAUUUCGUUUUCCUCUGUCACACUAGUGUUUGUUCGUUUAUGUUUUUCAAAAUUCACUGAACCAGUGCGGUUAAAUCGAUCUUUCAAUUUUUCAAAUGUAUCUUGUCUAGGUUGCCGCCUAUCUGGAAACGGUUCUUGAUAAAUGCUAGCUGAUGCUAGUAAUGAAUUUUUAUUGCAUUCCCCCAAAAUCCAGAUCAUAUCUACCAUUUCAUCAGUAGUAAAAUUCAUUAUUGCUAAUUUAAAUUGAAUUAAUUACUGAAUUACUAAAUAAUAAUUGUUUCUAAUUUACGGUGUAUCCCAAUACUGAAUUAAUAAACAAUAAUGUCAAACUGUCAGUUUCUGACAAAUCACUCAUAGCCAACUCACAAUAAUUAUUGGUAAACGUUAAAAUAUCUACCAAAUUAAUAUUGUGAUGGAAAAAUAAAAAUAUCUAGAAAACUGAUAACUUUAGGUAUAGGGAGUACUUCAUAAAAUUUGAAGUACGAUAUUAGUACUUUUCGAUAGUGAUAUAAAAUACAGGGUGUUCUAUUUAAAAUUACCAAGAAAAUAAUGUACUUGCAUUUUGACUUACCCUGUAUUUGAUUUAACGAAUAUUAUAAAAACGAAUAUGUUUUAUAAUUUUUAACAAUUAUUAAAAAACUAUGGUUGCAAUAGAAUAAUGUUCCUAUACUCCUUUUUAAUUAUACAGGGAGUUAAACUUGAUACGAUUUUCAGGUAAUAUUGGUUAUAACUUUUUAAAUACCCGGUAUAACAUAAUAAAACUUUACAUUGUUGUGAUGUGAAAGUGAAGCAGAUUUCAAAUUUAAAAUAAAAUACAGGGUAUUCCAUUUAAAAAAACAUAAGUUUGGUCUGCCACCAUCUUAUGGAACACCCUGUAAGAUUGUAACUAAUUUUAAAAUGUGGAGUUUAAAGCUGCCUGCAAUUUUUGUCAAUAACUUUUUUUUGUAAUUUUUACUAUAACAGAUCUACUGAGCUUCCUCACACUAAUCAAUCACCCUGUAUAAAGAUCCUGUUAUGAUGAUUAUUAUACAGGGUGAUUGAUUAGUGGGGUAGCGGAUCAAUAGAUCCGUUAUAGUAAUAGCUAGCAAUAAAAGUUAAUAAUAAAAAUUUUAGCCACCUUUGAGCUUCAUAUUACAAAAUUAGCUAGAAUGUUACAAGGGUGUUCGAUAACACAGUGGCAGACCAAACUUAUGUUUUUUAAAUGAAACACCCUAUAUUUUAUUUUAAAUUCGAAAUCCUGUUAGCUUCUCCAUUACAAAAAUAUAUAGGUUUGUUAUGUUAUACAGGGUAUUUACAAAGUUAUAACCAAUUUUGUGUGAAAAUCGUAACAAGUUCAACUUCCUGUAUAAAUAAAAAUACGCACAACAGCAAUGGUUUAUUAAUGCCAUAUUUUUUUAUUUAUUGCCAACAUUUUCAAAAAUUAUUGACAUUGCUAAUUUUCUUUAUAUCAAAUACAGGGUGAGUCAAAACGCAAGUACAUCAUUUUAUCGGUAAUGUUAAAUGGAACACCCUGUAUUUUAUAUCAUCAUUGAAAAGUAACAUUACCGUACUUUAAUUUUUAUAUAACAUUCCCUGUGUCCAAAUUUAUUAGUUUUCGAGAUAUUUUAAUUUUUUAGUGCAAAUUAUUUUAGGUGUCUAAAUUUAUCUAAAUUUUAAGUAAGCCAUCACUGAAUUGACAAUUGACGAUUACUGGUUAUUAAUCCGGUAAUUAAUGUAACAAUGUAGCAAAUAAAGAAAUAAAAAUAAUUUAUUAGUAAUACAUUUUCCAAAAAAAAAACACAACCACAACAUGCAACAUUUUUGAAACAAUUAAAAACUACUUUUUUAUGUAAUUGUAACAAAUAAAGAAAGAAAAUUAGUAAUAAAUUUUACAAAAAAACACACAACCACAAAAUACAACAUUUUGUGAAGUCAAUUAAACACUACUUUUUAUGUAAAUGUAACAAUGUAACAAAUAAAGAACGAAAAAUAAUUUAUCAGUAAUACAUUUUGCAAAAAAAACAUGUUUAAAAAAAUUAGAAGCUACUUUUAAUAAACUAUUUUUAAUAUUUAAUUACAUAAGGUGUUCAAAAUUACCUCCUAACACAUUUAUGCACGCCUAAAAACGAUCAUUGAAUGAGCUACUUACUCUACGAAGCAUUUGUAAAUUAACGCAUCGAAAUACACUUUGCAUUCUAUUUUUCAUCUCAUCCCUUGUUGUUGGAGGAAUUUUAUAAACUUCAUCAUUAACGUAACCCCAAAAAAAUCAGUCCAGUUUAUUAAAUUCUGGUGAUUUGGGUGGCCACGCUAUUGGUCCAUUGAAAAAUGAAAAUAUCUCGAAAACUAAUAAAUUUAGACAUAGGGAAUGUUAUCUAAAAAUUAAAGUACGGUAAUAGUACUUUUUAAUUGUAAUAUAAAAUACAGGGUGUUCCAUUUAAAAUUACUGAGAGAAUAAUGUACUUGCGUUUUGACUCAACCUGUAUUUGAUAUAAAGAAAAUUAGCAAUAUCAAUGAUUCUUAAAAAUUUUGACAAUACGAAAAAUAAUAUGGCAUUAAUAAACCAUUGCUGUUUUGCUUAUUUUUAUUUAUACAGGGAGUUAAACUUGUUACGAUUUUCAUAUAAAACUGGUUAUAACUUUGUAAAUACCCUGUAUAACAUAACAAAUCUUUAUAUUUUUGUGAUGGAGAAGUUAACAGGAUUUCGAAUUUAAAAUAAAAUAUAGGGUGUUCCAUUUAAAAAAACAUAAGUUUAGUCUGCCACUGUGUUAUCGAACACCCUGUAACAUUCUAAUUAAUUCUAAAAUGUGAAGCUUAAAGUUGGCUACAAUUUUUGUUAUUAACUUUUAUUGCUAUCUAUUACUAUAGCGGAUCUAUUGAGCUUUACCCCAGUAAUCAAUUACCCUGUAUGUAACACUGGCACCACCCGUUAGCAAAUCUAUAAAAAACUGAACUAGUUUUUUCACGGACAGACAGGCGGAAGUUAUUUGUAAAUUAUUUUAUAGGAUUAGUGGUUAAAACAAAAUUAGACUGUAUGUACAAUAAAAUUUAAUGCAUUGAUGUAGGUAUAAUAAAUAUUUAAUUUUCAUGUGAUCACUAAUUUCACACAUUGUUUCAUUGUUCAAUGUUAUACAACGGUUAUAUUCUUAUAUUUUGUAUCAUUUUAUCAUCACUAGUUCUUUAUUUAUAAGGUUCUUAUUACCAAUAAAUAUUUAGUUUUUAUUAUGAAUCCAUCUAAAAAACCAUUCUAAAAACAAUAAUAUUCCAAGCUCAUACAAUCAUUAACUUAAAAAACCCAAAUUAAAUAAUUUACCAAGGUAGGUUUGAAGAGUAUUUAAAAUAUUUGAGUAUUAGGUUUUCAUUUUGUAUUUUCCUUUUAAAUAAUAUUUCGUAGCUUUACAAUAAGAAAUAAUACAUGUUACUAUAUUGUUGAUAUACAAUAUUUUACAAUGUAUAUGACUGUUUGAUGCCCCCAGGUAAUGUGAUAAACUAGAUAAAAAUGCAAACUAUACUUUAUUCAAUAAACAUAGUUUAAAUACCAAAGCCUAUUUUAUGUAUUAAUUCUGAUGUGAAAUAAAGUACAUCCAAUGUUUCA